CAUAAGUUUUAGCCUCUGCUUCUUUCUGAGAUUUUGCAUUAGCGUUAGCAUUUCUUUCAGCUUCAUCUUUGGUCUCAGCAGAUGCGUAAGCUUUAACAUUGGUUUUGGCCGAUUCGUCUAAUUGACCCUUGGCAUUUUCUUCAUUUUUUGCUUCAGCAUCUUUCUUUUCUUUCUUUUCAGCUUCAAGUUCCGCAUUAGUAAAAGAUUGAGCUUGAGCCUCUGCUUUCGUUUUUGCAUUAGCGUAAGUUUUGGCUUCAUCUAUUUUUUGAGAUUGUGCUUUGGCAUCUGUAUUUACUUCGGCUUGAUCCUUUGCUUCUGCAUUUGCAUCAACUUCAACAUUAGCUUCGGCAUCAGCUUUAGCAGAUGCAUCGGAUUUAGCCUUCGCAUUUUCUUCAUUUUCUUCUUCAAUAUCUUUCUUUUCUUUAUUUUCAGCUUCAGUUUCCGCUUUAGCGAAAGCUUGAGCUUGACCCUCUACUUUUGUUUUUGCGUUAGAAUAAGUAUUGGCUUCAACUAGUUUUUGAGAUUGUGCAUUGGCAUCCGUAUUUACUUCAACAUCAUCUUUGGCCUCAGUGGUAGCAUCAGUUUUGGCAUUGACCUCAGCAUUAGCUUUAGCAGAAGCAUAAAUUUUUCCCUUGGUAUUUUCUUGAUUUUUGGCUUCGGCGUCUUUAUUUUCUUGAUCUUUUGCUUCAUUUUUUGCAUUUGCAUAUUCUUGAGCUUUAGACUCUGCUUUUGCUUCAACGUUAGCAUCAUCUUGAGAUUCUGAAUUGGCAUCAUCGUUUUCAAAAUUUGCUUCAGUAGAUGCAUCGUUUUUUUCUUUAGCGUUAUAUUCAUUUUCACCAUUUUUGUCUUCACCUUUAUCUCCUGUGUCAACUUGAGCAUCAUCUUUUACUUUUGCUUCAUCAUUGACCUCAACCUUUGCAUCCGUUUCAGCAUUGGCUUUGACAUUAGCUUCAGCAGAUGCAUCACUAUUUGCCUUAGUAUUUUCUUCAUUUUUGGCUUCAACAUCUUUUUUGACCUUAUUUUUUGCCUCAUUUUCUGCAUUAGCAUAAACUUGAGCUUGAGCCUCUGCUUUUGCGGCAGCAUUAGCAUCAGCUUUAGCCUCUACUUUUUUUUCGGAUUGUGCAUUUGCAUCUGCAUUUACUUCAGCAUCAUCCUUUGCUUCGGCAUUUGUAUUAGCAUCAGCAUUAGCUUCGGCAUCAGCUUUAGCAGAUGCAUCAGAUUUAGCCUUGUCAUUUUCUUCAUGUUUUGCUUCAGUAUCUUUAUUUUCUUUAUUUUUAGCUUCGGCUUCUGCAUUAGCAUAAACUUGAGCUUGAGCCUCUGCUUUUGCUGCAGCAUUAGCAUCAGCUUUAGCCUCAGUUAUUUUUUGGGAUUGUGCAUUAACAUCAGCAUUUACUUCAGCUUCAUCUUUGGCCUCGACCUUUGCAUCAGCUUUGGCAUUGGCUUCAGCAUUGGCUUCAGCAGAUGCCUCAGAUUUGACUUUGUUAUUUUCUUCAUUUUUUGCUUCUGUGUCAUCAUUUUCUCUAUUCUUGGCUUCAUCUUCUGCUUUAGCGUAUACUUGAGCUUGAGCCUCUGUUUUUGCUUCAGCAUUAGCAUCAACUUUAGCCUCUGCCUUUUUUUUAGAUUGGGCAUUGGCAUCGGCAUUUACUUCGACUUCAGCCUUGGCCUCUGCAAUUGCGGCAGCUUUUGCAUUAGCAUCGGCAUUAGCUUCAGCAGAUGCAUCACUAUUUGCCUUAGCAUUUUGUUCAUUUUUGGCUUCAACAUCUUUUUUUACUUUAUUUUUUGCUUCUUCUUCUGCAUUAGCAUAAACUUGAGCUUGAGCCUCUGCUUUUGCUGCAGCAUUAGCGUAAGUUUGAGCUUCUGCUCUUUUUUCGGAUUGUGCACUGGCAUCUGCUUUUACUUCAACUUCAGCAUUGGCUGCGGCAACUGCAUAAACUUUUGCACUAGCUUCGGCUUUAGCUUCAGCAGAUGCAUAAGAUUUUGCUUUAGCAAUUUCUUCAUUUUUGGCUUCAGCAUCUUUAGUUUCUUUAGUCUUUGCUUCAGCUUCUGCAUUAGCGUAAUCGUGCGCUUUAGCCUCAGCGUUUGCUUCAGCUUUUGCAUAGGUUUUUGCCUCAGCUUCUUUUUGAGAUUUUGCAAUAGUAUUAGCAUUUUUUUCAGUUUCAUCCUUGGCCUCGGCAAUUGCAUAAGCUUUAGUAUUGGCUU
This 2199-nucleotide long non-coding RNA is filed under the name Zostera marina. Its description in RNAcentral is "long non-coding RNA (ZMAR_LNC002938)". The record is from RNAcentral. Lineage: Eukaryota; Viridiplantae; Streptophyta; Magnoliopsida; Alismatales; Zosteraceae.